GACGAACGCUGGCGGCGUGCUUAACACAUGCAAGUCGAACGGAAAGGCCCUGCUUUUGUGGGGUGCUCGAGUGGCGAACGGGUGAGUAACACGUGAGUAACCUGCACUUGACUUUGGGAGAACUUCAGGAGACUGGGGAUAAUACCGGAUAGGAGAUCCUGCUGCAUGGUGGGGGUUGGAAAGUUUCGGCGGUUGGGGAUGGACUCGCGGCUUAUCAGCUUGUUGGUGGGGUAGUGGCGUACCAAGGCUUUGACGGGUAGCCGGCCUGAGAGGGUGACCGGCCUCAUGGGGACUGCGAUACGGCCCAGACUCCUACGGGCGGCAGAAGUGGGGAAUAUUGCACAAUGGGCGGAAGCCUGAUGCAGCAACGCCGCGUGCGGGAUGACGGCCUUCGGGUUGUAAACCGCUUUCGCCUGUGACGAAGCGUUAGUGACGGUAAUGGGUAAAGAAGCACCGGCUAACUACGUG
RNAcentral lists this ribosomal RNA (468 nucleotides) under uncultured bacterium. Its description in RNAcentral is "partial 16S ribosomal RNA". It matches the Rfam family "Bacterial small subunit ribosomal RNA", at positions 28 to 507 of the family's 1533-position model. The record is from RNAcentral.